CAGCAGCCGCGGUAAUACGGAGGGUGCAAGCGUUAAUCGGAAUUACUGGGCGUAAAGCGUGCGUAGGCGGUUUGUUAAGUCUGUUGUGAAAUCCCCGGGCUCAACCUGGGAAUGGCAAUGGAUACUGGCAAGCUAGAGUGUGUCAGAGGAUGGUGGAAUUCCCGGUGUAGCGGUGAAAUGCGUAGAGAUCGGGAGGAACAUCAGUGGCGAAGGCGGCCAUCUGGGACAACACUGACGCUGAGGCACGAAAGCGUGGGGAGCAAACAGGAUUAGAUACCCCCGUAGUCCCUGUCUCUUAUAC
Molecule: ribosomal RNA, 301 nt
Filed under: uncultured bacterium
Lineage: Bacteria
Description: partial 16S ribosomal RNA
Rfam family: Bacterial small subunit ribosomal RNA
Source: RNAcentral